Molecule: small nuclear RNA, 151 nt
Organism: Corylus avellana
Lineage: Eukaryota; Viridiplantae; Streptophyta; Magnoliopsida; Fagales; Betulaceae
Product: U4 spliceosomal RNA
Source: RefSeq, a predicted model, not a curated record
AUCUCUGUGCUAGGGGUAAUGACGCAGCUAGUGAGGUUCUAACCGAGGCACGUCUAUUGCUGGUUGAAAACUAUUUCCAAACCCUCUCUUCGGCCUAGGUUCAGCCUAGGCUGUCGAGAAUUUCCGGAAGGGCUACCCACGUGGUAAAGCC